AGAUCCGCCGAAAGCCUAAGGGUUCCUGAGGAAGGUUCGUCCGCUCAGGGUAAGUCGGGACCUAAGGCGAGGCCGAUAGGCGUAGUCGAAGGACAACAGGUCGAAAUUCCUGUACCACCGUAAUCCGCUAUGAGCGAUGGGGUGACGCAGUAGGGUAGUGACGCGGACUGAUGGAUGUCCGUCUAAGCAGUGAGGCUGAUGUGUAGGCAAAUCCGCACAUCGUAAGGCUGGGCUGUGAUGGGGAGCGAAAAUUA
Molecule: ribosomal RNA, 254 nt
Filed under: Paenibacillus polymyxa
Lineage: Bacteria; Bacillati; Bacillota; Bacilli; Caryophanales; Paenibacillaceae
Description: partial 23S ribosomal RNA
Rfam family: Bacterial large subunit ribosomal RNA
Source: RNAcentral